This 245-nucleotide ribosomal RNA is filed under the name uncultured Actinomycetes bacterium. Its description in RNAcentral is "uncultured actinobacterium partial 16S ribosomal RNA". It matches the Rfam family "Bacterial small subunit ribosomal RNA", at positions 524 to 767 of the family's 1533-position model. Lineage: Bacteria; Bacillati; Actinomycetota; Actinomycetes. The record is from RNAcentral.
UACGUAGGGGGCGAACGUUGUCCGGAUUUAUUGGGCGUAAAGAGCUCGUAGGCGGCUCAGCAAGUCGGCCGUGAAAACCCGGGGCUCAACCCCGGGACGCCGGUCGAAACUGCUGUGGCUAGGGUCCGGUAGAGGAGAGUGGAAUUCCCGGUGUAGCGGUGGAAUGCGCAGAUAUCGGGAGGAACACCAGUAGCGAAGGCGGCUCUCUGGGCCGGUACCGACGCUGAGGAGCGAAAGCUAGGGGA